UACGUAGGCGGAAGAUUAAGUCAGUGGUGAAAUCCUGCAGCUUAACUGUAGAACUGUCAUUGAUACUGGUUUUCUUGAAUAUAGUUGAGGUAGGCGGAAUGUGUAAUGUAGCGGUGAAAUGCUUGGAUAUUACACAGAACACCGAUUGCGAAGGCAGCUUACUAAACUAUGAUUGACGCUGAUGUACGAAAGCGUGGGGAGCGAACAGGAUUAGAUACCCUGGUAGUCC
Molecule: ribosomal RNA, 229 nt
Filed under: uncultured bacterium
Lineage: Bacteria
Description: partial 16S ribosomal RNA
Rfam family: Bacterial small subunit ribosomal RNA
Source: RNAcentral